Planococcus citri (citrus mealybug) is the source of this 1070-nucleotide long non-coding RNA. RefSeq lists it as uncharacterized. NCBI's taxonomy places the organism in Eukaryota, Metazoa, Arthropoda, Insecta, Hemiptera, Pseudococcidae. The transcript is spliced from 3 exons. The record is from RefSeq and is a predicted model, not a curated record.
CUCCUAUAGUAAAUUAAAUUGUGGUGAGAGUGGAGGAAUCUAAAUUGUGUACAUGCGCAAAAAAUCCAUUCCAUCGUCUCAAACUUGAUGUAGCCUACUUUGUAGAAGUAACCUGUACAUACCUAGUAAUCUGCUCUGAAUAGGUACCUACUUAAUUUUUCAAAAUAACGUUUUCAAUCUGAAAAUCGAAGGAGCAAGAACCAAAUCUGCAAAAUUCAUGUUGUGAAAAAGUAAUUCUUCAUCCCCCUUCCUUUCCCCCCAUAUGUUUCCCACAAUCAAAUUUCAAGUUUCGCGAAUUAAAACAUCCUUAAUUCUUCAAUUUCUCUUCCUCCUUCUACUCUAUACAAAAAAAAUAAUAUGUAUCGGACGUAAGUACGAAAUAAUAUUGAUGGAAACCGACUCGUGGGGUUCCAAAGCCUUAUUUUUCCUUUGUUUUAAGGAAGAUCAGGCUAAAAAUUUAGUAACCUGAAAGUAGGUGUUCUGUAUUUGAUUUAAUAUUCAUGAGACGCGAGGAUACUCGUAUUUCUGAAAUUUAUAAUGUACCUAGAUCUGGGAAGAUGACCAACUAUCCUGGGAACCGAGUGAAUAUAAUGAUACAUAUUCUUUAGAUGUUGGGAAUUAUUUUCAUCAAAUAUGGAAACCGGAUUUCAUAUUGAUCAACAACGCAUUUCGGAAUAAUAAAUCUUUACUCGGUUCAGACUUAGAGGAUUACAUUACAACAGUUUGGCAUAAUGGAACAGUCGUAUUUUGGACAAGAUACAUCAGCAUUCAAGCUGGUUGCCAGAUCUUAAUUACAAGCAGGCCGUGGAUCAACCAAACGUGUCUGCUGUAUUUUGAAACCAGCUCACCAAAAUUUUUAUUCACCGUUCAUUCUACAAAUACGAACGAAUCUACCUCUAUGCUGUUUUUGAAAAAUACGACUUGGGUAAAUUCAAACAUUGAAUCACCAUGGAUGGUGAAUAAAACUCGAAAGAUAACAUCAGUAGAUGGAAACCACACAUCCUCCAAUAAUUUGACAUUGAUCGAGGUGGAAUUAUUCAGAAACAUGGGUCCUUAUAAAUCCACACGAU